Molecule: ribosomal RNA, 594 nt
Filed under: Photobacterium damselae subsp. damselae
Lineage: Bacteria; Pseudomonadati; Pseudomonadota; Gammaproteobacteria; Vibrionales; Vibrionaceae
Description: partial 16S ribosomal RNA
Source: RNAcentral
GCCCGGGAACGUAUUCACCGUGGCAUUCUGAUCCACGAUUACUAGCGAUUCCGACUUCACGGAGUCGAGUUGCAGACUCCGAUCCGGACUACGACAUACUUUCUGGGAUUCGCUCCACCUCGCGGUCUUGCUGCCCUCUGUAUAUGCCAUUGUAGCACGUGUGUAGCCCUACUCGUAAGGGCCAUGAUGACUUGACGUCGUCCCCACCUUCCUCCGGUUUAUCACCGGCAGUCUCCCUGGAGUUCCCACCCGAAGUGCUGGCAAACAAGGAUAAGGGUUGCGCUCGUUGCGGGACUUAACCCAACAUUUCACAACACGAGCUGACGACAGCCAUGCAGCACCUGUCUCAGAGUUCCCGAAGGCACACUCGAAUCUCUUCAAGCUUCUCUGGAUGUCAAGAGUAGGUAAGGUUCUUCGCGUUGCAUCGAAUUAAACCACAUGCUCCACCGCUUGUGCGGGCCCCCGUCAAUUCAUUUGAGUUUUAAUCUUGCGACCGUACUCCCCAGGCGGUCUACUUAACGCGUUAGCUCCGAAAGCCACGGCUCAAGGCCACAACCUCCAAGUAGACAUCGUUUACGGCGUGGACUACCAGGG